CUGGCUCAGAACGAACGCUGGCGGCAGGCUUAACACAUGCAAGUUGAACGGGAUUGCUUGGUGCUUGCACCAGGUAAUGAGAGUAGCGCACUGGUGAGUAACACGUGGGAACAUGCCUUUUGGUGGGGGACAACAGAGGGAAACUUCUGCUAAUACCGCAUAAGCCCUAAGGGGGAAAGAUAGUAUUGCCGAAAGAUUGGCCCGCGGAAGAUUAGGUAGUUGGUGGGGUAAAGGCCUACCAAGCCGACGAUCUAUAGCUGGUCUGAGAGGACGAACAGCCACAUUGGAACUGAGACACGGUCCAGACUCCUACGGGAGGCAGCAGUGAGGAAUAUUGGGCAAUGGAGGAAACUCUGACCCAGCCAUGCCGCGUGAGUGAAGAAGGUUUUCGAAUUGUAAAGCUCUUUCGGAUACGAGGAUGAUGACGGUAGUAUCUAAAGAAGCCCCGGCAAACUUCGUGCCAGCCGCCGC
RNAcentral lists this ribosomal RNA (471 nucleotides) under uncultured bacterium. Its description in RNAcentral is "bacterial SSU rRNA". It matches the Rfam family "Bacterial small subunit ribosomal RNA", at positions 19 to 518 of the family's 1533-position model. The record is from RNAcentral.